Molecule: non-coding RNA, 1241 nt
Organism: Plutella xylostella (diamondback moth)
Lineage: Eukaryota; Metazoa; Arthropoda; Insecta; Lepidoptera; Plutellidae
Source: RefSeq, a predicted model, not a curated record
ACUUAACUCAUUUCUUAAUUACCAAUGUGCGGGUAAUUCCGUAAAUUCAAAAAUGCGGAAAUUUGCACUUUUUUACUAAUUUUACGUUUUAACACGCACGCUCGGUCCUAGCGUCCUGAGUCAACCCAAGCGAGGUAGAAGAUUAAGUUGCCUUCAAGGUGAAUGGUUCCACGGUUCAAAAUAUGGCUGCGUUUGGAAGAAAUCGGCAAACAUCGGAAUUACCCGAAAUUCGGCAUUACCCAACUGCACCUUAAUAAUAAAAUAAAAGUUAAUGCAUACAAAGGCGGACUUAUUGCCAAAGAGCAAUUUCUUCCAGCCAACCUUUGAGUUCCGGGGUUUUUACUUGAUACAUAGUAUUUUACUUGAUUAUGUACCUACUUACAUUCUUCAUCAUAGGUAUAAAUUGCACAAUAUUUUAUAAGCACAGACCUUGAAAGCAUUCCAUACAACUAUCUGCAAAAAUGUAUGUUAUAAAAUAAAUGACAACUAGAAAUUCAAGGUUAUUGCUCAUAAAUGAUUGCAUGGGUAUAUAUUAGUUAUAAUAAAGUCUAAUUCUGUUAUUUUUCAGUUUCGACACGUAAAAGACCAUUGUCAGACAUUAACAAUUUUGCUACAGACAAUACUGCACCGUCCACAUCUGAAGCUUUAUUGAUUUCAACAGAACCAGCAGUAACUGCGAGUACUUCAACAGCUGUACCUAAAAAGCGAUACUCUGCAAGAAAUGAAAAAGUACCCAUAGCAACAAGGAACUACUUGGAAAAGAAGAUCCAGACAUUACGAUGCAAGAAGGAUAGUUACGUGACCAGACUGAAAAAAGCUAUGAAGCUUUCAGAAAACGAAACAUUUAAGAAUUUUUUAAAUAAAUUCACGUCGCUCGCAGCCAUAUUUACGAUUAUGCAGUUUCGAGAAAUAAGCAAACCAAAAAUGGGGAGGAGAUUUUCAAGAAAUGAGAAGAUCAUGGCACUCAGUCUGUAUAAGCAGGGCCCAAAAGCAUACAGAUGGCUAAGAAAAAUAUUUAUACUGCCAUCUCCUGUCACUUUAAGCAGACUGAUUUCAGUUGUGGGAUUAAGGCCAGGGAUAAAUAAAAAAAUAUUCCUACUAUUGAAAAAGAGAGUAGAACGCAUGUCAGAAAACGACAAAUUAUGCAUGGUGUUGUUCGAUGAAAUUUCAAUAACCCCACAUUUCGAACUUAAUAGAAAGAGGGAUGAAAUAACAGGAUUUGUAAACAAUGGCACAGAACG